AGCCGCCACACGGGGCCGACCUGCCCUCAAUCCCCUACCCCCUCCGGCCCAACGUGCGCUCUCUCGGAGCAUGCGCAGAGCGGGGUGUUCAAAGGGACUUCAGGGCCUCCGGCGGUGGGCUGGAGUGUGUGAGGGGAGUCCGCGCAUGCGCCCUGGGGGGGGCUCCUGUAGCAGUUGUGCUUCGAGGGAUUAAAUCCAAAGUGAAGAAUGUCAGUAGUCACAGUGCAGCUUGGUCAGUGUGGUAAUCAGAUUGGCCAUGAGGUGUUCAAUGCUAUCUGCAGCGAUUUCCACAGUACACAUGGGCUGUGCUCCAAGAAGGAGAAUGAAUCCUAUCAGGAAGCUUGUAAAGAACGUUUUUUCAGUGAGGAGAAAACUGGAGUACCUGUUGCCCGGGCUGUACUUAUUGACAUGGAACCUAAAGUAAUCAGUCAGACCUUAUCAAUGGCUGCUAGAUCCGGCUGCUGGAAGUAUGACCAUCAGUCACAUUUCUGUCAGAAACAAGGGUCUGGAAACAACUGGGCAAAUGGUUACUCUGUUCAUGGGCCCAGACACAAAGAUGCGAUCAUGAAUCUGGUCCAGAAGGAAGCAGAGAAAUGUGAUAGACUCAGCGGAUUUUUCACAGUAAUGAGCAUGGCUGGUGGUACAGGGUCAGGCAUGGGAGCGUUUGUGACCCAGUGCUUACGGGAUGCUUUUCCAGCCUCAUUUAUACUAAACCAGGUUGUCUGGCCAUAUGGAACUGGUGAGGUUAUUGUCCAAAACUACAACUCAGUUCUGACGCUCUCUCACUUGUACCAGUCUUCAGAUGCUCUCCUUGUUCAUGAAAAUGAUGCCAUCCACAAGAUCUGUGCUCAGCUAAUGAAUAUUAAGCAGAUCUCAUUCAGGGAUGUAAAUAGAGUCAUUGCACACCAGCUGGGAAGCGUCUUUCAGCCUACUCACACCUCCGAAGGUGCUGUUCGGUACAGCAGAAAUCCACUAGGAGAUUUAAUGGAAUCUUUAGUUCCCCAUCCUGAAUUCAAGAUGUUGGGUCUUCGUAAUAUUCCUCAGAUGUCUGAGAACUCCCUGGCAUAUAGCACAUUCACUUGGCCUGGACUCAUCAAACACCUGAGGCAGAUGCUUAUUGCUAAUGCUAAAAUGGAGGAAGGUAUCAAUUGGCAGGUGCGACCACCAUUGUCUGGACUCCCUGUCUCCCAAAAAUGCUGUCUGAGUAGAGCACCGCAUUUUAACACUUCUAUUGCCAACCUGGUUAUCCUGCGAGGAAAAGAUGUACAAAGUGUGGAUGUAGGAGGUUUCAGAGAUGCUGCAUUAUAUACCUCAUGGCUAAACCCUCAGGAUGCUUUUAAUGUAUGGAAAACACCAAGAGCUUUUAACAAGUAUGAAAAGUCUGCUGCUUUGGUCAGCAAUAGCCAGUUUCUGCUGAAGCCUCUAGACGAUAUUGUUGGGAAGGCUUGGAAUAUGUUUGCUUCCAAGGCAUAUGUUCACCAGUACACUAAGUUUGGGAUUGAAGAGGAGGACUUUCUGGACUGCUUCACAGCUCUGGAACAGGUUCUCUCUAGUUAUGCCAGCCUUUGAUUUUGAAAUGCUUGCCAAUGGGGCUUUAUCAAAAAGUAUCCACAAAGCAAGGCCUUCUGCAUCAGCUUCCAAGACAGAAACUGUUCAGAUGGGCCCCGUGUCCAAGCUGAGCAGUGGUGAUGCAGAGGGGCCUGCACGAAGGCCAGUGUGCCCCAUUGAAGUCAAUAGGUUCCAAGAGGAUCAGCACAGGCAUAGACAGUUACAAGACUGGAGCCUCUUGACAGCAAAAUCUAAGGCAGCCUGAGCAUGCAGGAGAUCAAAGGUUUCUGAAAACUGGAACUGGAAGUCUGCCUAGCAAAGCCGGGGAGUAAAGUCAUGGGACAGCCAAGAAGUGGCGAAGGGGGACGGGCGGCGUUCUUACCUGUGGCACUCCACUGUCAGGUCUGUGGUGGAGUUUUAUCCGCUGAGCUUCCAAGUAUUCUUGGAACGGCUUCCGAAGAGAAGGACCUAUACUUGGGACAGCACUGAAGCAAAUUCAUCCCAGAAAACAAGACAAAUUGUGGGGAGAGACAAAACAAGAAAAUCAUUUUAGGGUUUUUUUUAAACUUACCACCUGGACUCAAACAGAACAAAGUUCAGAUUCAAGCCACGGCUCAGGAUAGCCAUGUUAUAUAAAGCACUCGCUUGGUUCAUCUGAAGGGGACGAAUGGGUCCCCGGGCCCUCAAAAAUUAAAUAAAUAAAUAAAUAAAGGAGGUAAAAAAGAAAAAAAAAAAAAAAAAAGUAUUUCACAGCAGACUACGGAUGCCAAGCUCAGAGGUAAGAUGGAGAGAGGCUCUGAGCUCCAGUAUUUCCUUUUGAGUCAGGGAGAAGCCCAGCUGGGGCUGUGCACUGAAGCAGUGCUGAGAAUAAAAUGAAUGACUUCUCAGAAGUCCCACAUUUAUCACCAGCAGUUCCUGUAAGAACUGGUUUGAACCGAUUAAUAAGGAAAUGACUUGUGCUUGUGUCAUCCCUCAGUUAAAAAAGAAACUGCCCGCCCUAUGACUUGCCCCUAUCUUCUCAAAGAAGGCGGCCCCUUUCUCAAACUUCAGUCCUUAUUAGGACAAUCUGUGCGUCAUCCUUAUCCAAAAAGAAUGCAUUAGCAAAUUCUAAAGGCACCUCCCACUAGUCAGUGAUUAACAAAGGAACAAAGAAGGAACUAUGAACCUUGUUCUGAAUCACUCCAUGGUUUAUGGCAGAUGACUUUGCACAGAAAAUACAGUACAUUUCUAAACACCUUGUUCUCAGAUGAACGUUAUAAUGAGCACUGAUAAGUUUAUGUACUCAGGACCUUCUAUAAACCACUGAAGCACUGAUGAGAGACAGGUUCAGCAAUGUGGCUGCUAAAUGCCAUUCAGCAGAUGCCAGAGCAGUUUAAAAAAUUGUGACUCAGAAAAGAAAUAUCAAAUCAAAUCAGCAUCAGUUUUUAUACCCAUUAUCUAACAAUCGUGUGCCACAUUAGUCAACAGGAACAGAACCUGUAUCCUGCCGCCUCCACCCCCUCCUUCCCACUGGGGCCUGUUUAGUCCUGGAUGUGUGGGUCCUGGUGUUUUAGAAAUACCCUCAAGAGAUGCUCACAGCGUCCUCCCCCCAUACAAGAAGCAACCAGAGUUAAUCCAAAGGAAGCCCAAGCACAACGCCAGGAUCCUGUGGCUGAGCCUGCAUCUACACAUGACCUCGCUGGGAGAACCAGUGGGAAUUUCUUGCACAAAGUUUCUCCAGUGCCAACAGUCUGAAUGCUUGAAAAGGGACAAACUGCUUCCCAGAUAGCCGGGUCUUCAUCAGCUCCAGCUAAACAAAUGCUACAAAUUUGGAAUUUCUGAUCCUUCCUCCAUUACUAGGAGGGAGAGUUUUAUACAAGGUGCUUCGAUCCACCAAAAGCAGAGGUAUUAAAAGGGAUCGCUCCCCUCUACCUUGCUUCUGGGAGCUCUGGCUAAGGAUGGCUGCAUCUCCUCUCAAACUGCAUCACCACUCAGCUCCUUCUCAGAAGACACGAGGAGGACAGCAGCUUUCUGAUACUGCAAGUAUUUGUAAAUCCAGAGAUCUCUCUAGCUCCUGAUCUGCCUUGCUAAUUCUACGUGGUCCAGUAGCCUGGGGCAAGGAGUUUUUUGAACACCAAGUUUAAAGGAAAAACAAUGCUUGCAUCAGUCACUUGCUCUCAACCUGCUACAAAGCGAUUUUGUGCUUGGACUGGUCUAUUUUCCAAGCACUUUUGCAAGGGUAAUGCACACCCAUGUCUGCAUUUCAUAUAACAGAGUACCAGUUUGUACCAGCAAUUUCCAGUUCUUCAAAACACUGUAAGGCCCUGAUACCUCCUCGCUGGUAGAAAAUCUCCCAAAUGACUCGCCGGUCACGAGUCAGUUUGAAAAUUCUGAGGUUUCUUUUUUCUUUUCUUUUUUUAAGUGACGCAUGCAAGACAAAGGAAGAAAAGGCUCCUGAAAGGUGUUAUUUUACUUUUAAAACUUUCCAUGACUUUUAUAUUAGAACUGUUCAAACAACGAGAAUUGAAUGAGUAAUCAAAAAGCCGUCGAUAAAGAAAACCAACUAAUUCAAACCCUCAAAUUCUAAAAAAACCCCAAAAUACCCAAGAGCAACAAGCUUAAACUAAGCUCCCAAGUUUUAGAGUAAUGAUUGCUCAUCAUGCAUCCAAAACAUGUUUUAAAGUAAUUGUUUAGCUGGAAAUACUACACACAUUUUUUAAAAACAAACAAUAUGAACUUCAUUGUAUAACAAAGAAACUAAAUUAGCCCUUUGGGGCAUGAAGGCAAACCUGAAUUAUUGCACACUUCACUGUAUCUUGCUUAUUUAAUAUUAUACGUAGCCUGCUAAAGAAAUCUACACUGUCUCACUGGAGAGAAGUUUAGAAAGUAGCCAACAUGUACAUGCAUCCACAGUACCCGAAAUGCAAUUCUCUAACCUCUACCACAAUGGUUAGGUCGGAUUAUCUCUGCAGCCUUUCAGUAAAACUUAGCUAUUUAAGCAGUCAUCCUACUGACAUUUUCCCACAUCGGGUUUUGAAGUAGCAGCAACAUUUAACCGUAUGUACAGAACCCAGUUACAGGCUGAGAGUUUAUUUUCAAAGCUGGAAAUUGAGUAAUUGUACUUUGUUACAGACUGUCGGGAUGCCAUCCCAGGAGGCCUAGAAAAACCUCGUUGACCCACUAGCUCAGUCACUGGUGACUGGACACCCGUGGCUUACCCGGGUAAGCGACAACUCAACGCUGCUUAGCAGAGGGUAAGCCUUCCAAAAAAGAGGGAUGCCUCUUCAAAAAAUAAAAUUAAAAAAAAAUGACUGUAGUAGGAUUUUAGAUGAAACCUGCAUAUUGCACUGUACAUGCCCUGCACCACCGAACAUAACCGCAGCUUUGAAAAGAAGUGAUUUCAAGCUUCCCUGAGCUGCCUGGAUUCUCUUAACUGCUGCUGUUCUGAGAGCAAAGCCAGUGGUCUUUUUCCAUGAGCAAGGCUGGUGAUAAUAAACCAGAGUAAGAAAUAAAAAGGGCCUCAAAGUACAAAACUUUGAGCAACGUACGGAUUGUGCAGAUGCACGAGUCAAAAAGCUUAUGCAUCAGGCAAAGAUUUUGCAACACGUGUUGCAAUAAAUCGAUGUACUUCAAUUUUUGUACAAAAUAAAAAAAGUUUGUUCACUACGAUGUUGGGAAAUUUCAUAAGCAGCUCAAGUGCCAAAACAGGAGGGUGAACUGUACUCCAUCACACAUUCCCACUGUUGUACUUGUUCACUAAUUUGCAGACUUCAAUUGAUUUGCAUCAAUAGGGAUGCAGUGCGAGUCAGCAAGGUGCUGCUGUAUCAUAUUCUCUUUCCCCAAAAAGCAUUUUAUGAAAAGUGGUGUAUGAGCAAUUCCAUCCAGGGCUCCGGCAGACAGAGGCUGUCUGACUUUUAUAAGCAGAAUAGAAUCAAAAUGUCUUCUAAAGCUUAGUGUGUAUAUAUAUAUAUAUUUUUCCCCCCUCCAACUCAGUUUCUGAACCUAUAAAAAUAUGAACCGUUUGUAGAACCUGAAGCUGCAUGGGAUAUUUUACUUGUUACACACCACCUCUGUUAAAAAUGGAGAUGAUGUUUUACACCACAUAAAAAAAAAAUACACUGCAUUGUGUUGGAAGCUAAAAUGAAUCUGAUACAUACAUGGAUUAAUUUACAACAUUUGGUGCAAGGAAUAUAUUUUUCUUUUUUUCAAAUAAAAAGCCUAUUUAAAUAUAAUCCACUAAAGCAAUUCAAAUAAAACUGAUGAGUUCU
This is an RNA transcript of Alligator mississippiensis (American alligator), 5795 nucleotides long. It is a transcript of the gene named tubulin delta 1, with no coding region annotated. The record is from RefSeq and is a predicted model, not a curated record. Lineage: Eukaryota; Metazoa; Chordata; Crocodylia; Alligatoridae. The transcript has 11 exons.